GAUGAACGCUGGCGGCGUGCCUAAUACAUGCAAGUCGAGCGAACAGAUGAGGAGCUUGCUCCUCUGACGUUAGCAGCGGACGGGUGAGUAACACGUGGAUAACCUACCUAUAAGACUGGGAUAACUUCGGGAAACCGGAGCUAAUACCGGAUAAUAUAUUGAACCGCAUGGUUCAAUAGUGAAAGACGGUUUUGCUGUCACUUAUAGAUGGAUCCGCGCCGCAUUAGCUAGUUGGUAAGGUAACGGCUUACCAAGGCAACGAUGCGUAGCCGACCUGAGAGGGUGAUCGGCCACACUGGAACUGAGACACGGUCCAGACUCCUACGGGAGGCAGCAGUAGGGAAUCUUCCGCAAAGGGCGAAAGCCUGACGGAGCAACGCCGCGUGAGUGAUGAAGGUCUUCGGAUCGUAAAACUCUGUUAUUAGGGAAGAACAAAUGUGUAAGUAACUAUGCACGUCUUGACGGUACCUAAUCAGAAAGCCCCGGCUAACUACGUG
This 497-nucleotide ribosomal RNA is filed under the name uncultured bacterium. RNAcentral describes it as "partial 16S ribosomal RNA". It matches the Rfam family "Bacterial small subunit ribosomal RNA", at positions 28 to 507 of the family's 1533-position model. The record is from RNAcentral.